UUAAAAGUCGGCCACUCAG
This 19-nucleotide unclassified non-coding RNA is filed under the name Mus musculus (house mouse). RNAcentral describes it as "oocyte_clustered_small_RNA5775". Lineage: Eukaryota; Metazoa; Chordata; Mammalia; Rodentia; Muridae. The record is from RNAcentral.